GCAAACUUGGUCAUUUAGAGGAAGUAAAAGUCGUAACAAGGUUUCCGUAGGUGAACCUGCGGAAGGAUCAUUAAUGAAGCAUGUCGUGAAGGGCUGUUGCUGGGUCCUCCCUCUCCAUCACAGGAAAGGGAAGGGGCAUGUGCACGCCUGGAACGUUCAUCCAUAUCUCAUCCCCUGUGCACACCUGUGGGCAAUUUGGGUUUUUCUCACCCUUAUGCUUGCCCACCUCUUUUUCAUUCACUCUCAUACAGUCACUUGGAAUGUCUACUGUCAUAGGAAAUAAAACAACUUUCAGCAACGGAUCUCUUGGCUCUCGCAUCGAUGAAGAACGCAGC
This 335-nucleotide unclassified non-coding RNA is filed under the name uncultured fungus. RNAcentral's name for it is "partial contains small subunit ribosomal RNA, internal transcribed spacer 1, and 5.8S ribosomal RNA". The stretch from base 1 to 73 matches the Rfam family "Eukaryotic small subunit ribosomal RNA", at positions 1759 to 1831 of the family's 1831-position model. Lineage: Eukaryota; Fungi. The record is from RNAcentral.